Long non-coding RNA from Lycium ferocissimum, 644 nucleotides. RefSeq lists it as uncharacterized. The transcript is spliced from 2 exons. NCBI's taxonomy places the organism in Eukaryota, Viridiplantae, Streptophyta, Magnoliopsida, Solanales, Solanaceae. The record is from RefSeq and is a predicted model, not a curated record.
UUUUUAUUCUUGUUUUGUUUUCUUUUCUCUCUGUUUCACGCUUAGUGGCUUCUGUUCAUGGACGUUCAAUUUUGCUUCAUACGCUACCAUUAGUUUUAUUCUCAUGUUAUGAUUGGAUUUACCUGUUGCAGGUUUUAUAUGUUUGAGAGGAGCACUGGAAUAAAUCAAGUAAAAACAAGUUUUAUAUGUUUGAGAAGAGCAUUGGAAGAAACCAAGUAAAAACAAAUCAAAAAGGAGCUAAAAUGAAGAAAAUGGAAAAAAUUGGUUAGAAGUGCAAAAAGUGGCCAGAUUUGUAAAUUUGAAAUCUAAAAAGUUGGGGGCUAUUUUCGUCACUUGUUAUUGGGAAGUUUUUGGAAACCUUAAAAGCAACACUUGGAAGACAAUACCAUCAUCUUUGGCCAUUUCAUACAAAUCUUGGAGAGCUUAGGAUUCUUACACUCACACUUGGGGAAUAAAGAUUUGAAGAUUUUUUAUGAGAAUUUUUUAAUUCUUUACUCAUUUCUUCUUUUUCUUGCUAUGUAUUGACUAUUUAAGUGUGUAGUACUCUAUUCCAUUACUUGAAACUUGUUUAUGAAAAUAUACAUUGUUAAAGUUUUGGAUGAAACUAUUGUUAUGCUUAUGUAUUGAAUGAUGUUUAUCUCUAA